This 1128-nucleotide ribosomal RNA is filed under the name Triticum aestivum (bread wheat). RNAcentral describes it as "partial small subunit ribosomal RNA". The record is from RNAcentral. Lineage: Eukaryota; Viridiplantae; Streptophyta; Magnoliopsida; Poales; Poaceae.
AUGUCGAAGCGGCGAGGCCCGUCGUCUUCAGAGGCGGAGCACGACCGGGACCGUGCCUGCACCUGCACGGCCAAGAGGGCGCGGCCGCAGCCGAAGCAGAGGCACGUCUACGUGGCGCUGGAUGACCGGGACAAGGCGUACAGUGUCUACAAGCUGAACGUCGACGGCGAUGGCUCCUCCCAGCAGCGCCUCCCGGAGCCUCCGGUCCUCCGGUUCGAGGUCCCGAAACGCGGGGACACGUGCCUCUUUGCCGCCCUUGACGCAAAGAUCAUCGCCGUCUGUGCCAACCGCUCCCCGACGCUCGUCCACGACACCCACACCGCGGCGCUGGCCGUCGGCCACCGUGCCCCACGCGUGCUGGCCCGCGCGUCCUUCACUGUACCCGCCGCCGGCCGCCUCUACGCGCUGCCUCCCCGCUUCACGGGAGACACUUACUACCUAGAGCCCGAGGAGAUGGCCUUGAGCCCGGACGGCAGGAGCGAUGAGGACGAGAAGAUGAUCAUCGACAGGUGGGUGUGGAAUGCAACCGAUUCGAGGUCGCCCGUCCCGUUCGACUCCAGGGCCGUCACAUGCCACGCGGUGCACCCGGACGGCCGCACGGUCUUCGUCUCCGUGCGCCGCCGGCGUGAUGCCUGGAUGGACCACGGGACCUUCUCCCUCGAUGCCGGACGCUGUGGCGCAGAGUGGACGCAUCACGGCGACUGGAUGCUGCAGUUCAAGGGCCGGGCCUUCUUCGAGCCCCAGCUCGACGCCUGGGUCGGGCUGGACGAGGACGGACACAUCUGCUCCUGCAAUGGCAUGUCGCGCCGCGGGAGCCGUAGGGCGGCGCCGGCGCUGAAAGUCGCGAAGGAGACGCUGCUCCGCGAGCCCGACCAGGGCAGGCGGCUGGACGCCACGCUAGCGCACAUGGGCGACGGGAGGUUUUGCCUGGUGGAGCGCACGUCGCGCAAAGGAGGCGAGGCGAUGAACAUCUUCGGCGACGGUGAUGCGUGCGUGCUUCAUGUCACCACCUUCGCCGUAAGGUACGACAGUCAUGGAGGCCUGACGGUGGCGGAUCGCCGCCAAGCUGGCUCCUACGUGGUGUCCACGCACGAUAGAUUCUUUAAGCUGCAGGCAUUUUUCUUGUGA